Molecule: ribosomal RNA, 433 nt
Filed under: uncultured bacterium
Lineage: Bacteria
Description: partial 16S ribosomal RNA
Rfam family: Bacterial small subunit ribosomal RNA
Source: RNAcentral
AACGAACGCUGGCGGCAUGCCUAACACAUGCAAGUCGAACGAGACCUUCGGGUCUAGUGGCGCACGGGUGCGUAACGCGUGGGAACCUGCCCUUAGGUUCGGAAUAACUCCCCGAAAGGGGUGCUAAUACCGGAUAAUGUCGUCGGACCAAAGAUUUAUCGCCUUUGGAUGGGCCCGCGUUGGAUUAGCUAGUUGGUAGGGUAAAAGCCUACCAAGGCGACGAUCCAUAGCUGGUCUGAGAGGAUGAUCAGCCACACUGGGACUGAGACACGGCCCAGACUCCUACGGGAGGCAGCAGUGGGGAAUAUUGGACAAUGGGCGAAAGCCUGAUCCAGCAAUGCCGCGUGAGUGAUGAAGGCCUUAGGGUUGUAAAGCUCUUUUACCCGGGAUGAUAAUGACAGUACCGGGAGAAUAAGCUCCGGCUAACUCCGUG